UUUUGAAUUUCCCCAGACAGACUGUCACACCCACACAGAAAACACAUUUAUAAUCAUGAAGUAACAAUAACUGUUCAUACCAGUCUGUCGUUAAAAACAAGAAUUGCUUCUAAACUGGUUUAUAAACACUGUGAUGACUUAAAGGGAGGACCUAUGUCUUAUUUUAUGACUAGGUUGGGUGGUGAUUCUUUGUAGGGAGUGUUAUAGUUGUUUUCGUAUCUUCUUCACAUUUCUGUUGCACUGUUUAGUCCCACUCUAGUUAUGUUUAGAAUCCCUCAGUCUUCUCUGUGAGAUAUAUUUGCUGCCUUCUCUCUUUUGCAGUGUUUUACAGUAAACGUGGCCUCCCUGGGCUGACAAGACAGGAUAAAUGAUCCUUCUCCUGUUCUAGAGUCAACAGAUCUUGGCAGUGUGGAUGGGAGGGGUUGUCUGCUAGGAAUCCUUCUGGUCUGAGCUGUAACCUUUCCUGGAACACGCCUCAUUUUUUGUUCAGCAGCCACAAACUCAGUCCCCAUCCAAAUCCAGCCCCCAAAUGCAUGCGAUUGGCUGAUGUGGAAGAAACAACAAUAGGGGAAGGACAAAAGCAAAGUGACGUCCACCCAGUUUCAACAUUUCUGCUCAGACCCUUUCAAAGCUGCCACACAAAGAGGGGCCACAGCCAGGGGGAGAAAGAGAGUAUUGUUUGGCCACAAAACCACCAUUACAUCAACAAUAACUCAUGUAGCCAAUACAGAAUAUGAAGAGAAUACUGUGUGUGAGGAAACGCAUUGUGUUGGGGGAGGGGGUGUGCUUUGGAGAAAUUAAGGUCACUGAACCAAGUUAACUUCAUUUAUUGGGAUUAGUUAUUUUAUGAAUAAUGUCAUGUUUAGUUCCUUGCAUGUUUGAAUCAAGUUUGACCCAGAGGUAAUUUUACAGUAUAAAUCUUUGUUUAUUGUAUAAAUCACUCCAUUUUACAUAUGGAGACAUAGAUACAUGUAUUUCACUUUUUAAGUUUGACUCAGUCUUUAAGGAAAAAAUAAGAUAGAAAGCCGGAAACAAAUACAUAGUGUAGGAAUGCUGUUUUCAUGUAACAAGCCUUAUGACUCUUUAAACAGUCUAAAGGGUCUUUUCAUGCUUUUAUUUCCAACUAUGAAGAAAAAAUGCUGUCCAAAACUGUCUAAUUUAUUUAUUCAGGCUAAUCAAAUUAUACACCAUGAAAUACUUGUGCAUACCUAGAGGGAUAAAGUCGGAUCUGAUAACUGUCCAGCACAUUGCAUCAAUGUAACAUUAUACUGUAUUGUUCAAGGACAAGGUAAGGUGCGCAGCUUUUGAAAGGACACGGGAAGAACUGGCAUACCUCUAUAUUAUCUGCAGGGGAGGUGGAUGAGACAAUUCACAAUAUUUGUCUUAUAAAAAUUCUGUUAUUCAGAACACUGUGGAAUAUAAGCACAAAGCACUAUGAGUUUCCGUUGCACUAUUCAGUCUGCCUUUUCAAAUAUAUUGAAAAGGUGGCAAUUGUGUUAGUGAAGCAAACUUUUAAUCAGGGGUGGGUUUCAUUUAAACUUAAGACGGAUAAGCAUGUUCAUUCAUGCACAUGUAGUGCAUUUAAGGAAAUGGAUUAUCUGCAUUGACACUUGAAUAAAGAGUUAAAGUGCAUGCA
This is a long non-coding RNA of Cyprinus carpio (common carp), 1636 nucleotides long. The record is from Ensembl. Lineage: Eukaryota; Metazoa; Chordata; Actinopteri; Cypriniformes; Cyprinidae.